Molecule: ribosomal RNA, 468 nt
Filed under: uncultured bacterium
Lineage: Bacteria
Description: partial 16S ribosomal RNA
Rfam family: Bacterial small subunit ribosomal RNA
Source: RNAcentral
GACGAACGCUGGCGGCGUGCUUAACACAUGCAAGUCGAACGGAAAGGCCCUGCUUUUGUGGGGUGCUCGAGUGGCGAACGGGUGAGUAACACGUGAGUAACCUGCCCUUGACUUUGGGAUAACUUCAGGAAACUGGGGCUAAUACCGGAUAGGAGCUCCUGCUGCAUGGUGGGGGUUGGAAAGUUUCGGCGGUUGGGGAUGGACUCGCGGCUUAUCAGCUUGUUGGUGGGGUAGUGGCUUACCAAGGCUUUGACGGGUAGCCGGCCUGAGAGGGUGACCGGCCACAUUGGGACUGAGAUACGGCCCAGACCCCUACGGGAGGCAGCAGUGGGGAAUAUUGCACAAUGGGUGGAAGCCUGAUGCAGCAACGCCGCGUGCGGGAUGACGGCCUUCGGGUUGUAAACCGCUUUCGCCUGUGACGAAGCGUGAGUGACGGUAAUGGGUAAAGAAGCACCGGCUAACUACGUG